AGGUCUUUGGUGUAGUGGUAACAUGUCGUUCUCCAAAAACGAAGUCAUCAGUUCAAUUCUGAUAAGGCCUG
This 71-nucleotide transfer RNA is filed under the name Lachnospiraceae bacterium. Its description in RNAcentral is "tRNA-Trp". It matches the Rfam family "tRNA". From Rfam's summary of the family: Transfer RNA (tRNA) molecules are approximately 80 nucleotides in length. Their secondary structure includes four short double-helical elements and three loops (D, anti-codon, and T loops). The record is from RNAcentral. Lineage: Bacteria; Bacillati; Bacillota; Clostridia; Lachnospirales; Lachnospiraceae.